CUCCUAGGGACGCAGCAGUAGGGAAUCUUCCACAAUGGACGAAAGUCUGAUGGAGCAACGCCGCGUGAGUGAAGAAGGGUUUCGGCUCGCAAAGCUCUGUUGGUAGUGAAGAAAGAUAGAGGUAGUAACUGGCCUUUAUUUGACGGUAAUUACUUAGAAAGUCACGGCUAACUACGUGCCAGCAGCCGCGGUAAUACGUAGGUGGCAAGCGUUGUCCGGAUUUAUUGGGCGUAAAGCGAGUGCAGGCGGUUCAAUAAGACUGAUUUGAAAGCCUUCGGCUCAACCGGAGAAUUGCAUCAGAAACU
RNAcentral lists this ribosomal RNA (305 nucleotides) under uncultured bacterium. Its description in RNAcentral is "bacterial SSU rRNA". It matches the Rfam family "Bacterial small subunit ribosomal RNA", at positions 336 to 634 of the family's 1533-position model. The record is from RNAcentral.